RNAcentral lists this ribosomal RNA (207 nucleotides) under uncultured bacterium. Its description in RNAcentral is "partial 16S ribosomal RNA". It matches the Rfam family "Bacterial small subunit ribosomal RNA", at positions 568 to 774 of the family's 1533-position model. The record is from RNAcentral.
CUCGUAGGUGGCCAAUUAAGUCAGGCGUGAAAUCCCCAGGCUCAACUUGGGAACUGCGUCUGAUACUGGUUGGCUUGAAUUCGGGAGAGGGAUGCAGAAUUCCAGGUGUAGCGGUGAAAUGCGUAGAUAUCUGGAGGAAUACCGGUGGCGAAGGCGGCAUCCUGGACCGAGAUUGACACUGAGGAGCGAAAGCCAGGGGAGCAAACG